This 451-nucleotide ribosomal RNA is filed under the name uncultured bacterium. Its description in RNAcentral is "partial 16S ribosomal RNA". It matches the Rfam family "Bacterial small subunit ribosomal RNA", at positions 28 to 507 of the family's 1533-position model. The record is from RNAcentral.
GAUGAAUGCUGGCGGCGUGCCUAACACAUGCAAGUCGAGCGGCAGCGCGAGUAGUUUACUCCUUGGCGGCGAGCGGCGGACGGCUGAGUAACGCGUAGGAACGUGCCCCAAAGUGAGGAAUAACUGCCCGAAAGGGUGGCUAAUGACGCAUAUGAUCUUCGGAUUAAAGUCUUCGGACGCGUUGGGAGCGGCGUGCGUUAGAUUAGGUGGUUGGUGAGGUAAUGGCUCACCAAGCUGACGAGCCAUAGAUGGUCUGAGAGGAUGAGCAGCCAGACUGGGACUGGGACGCGGCCCAGACUCCUACGGGAUGCAGGAGUGAGGAAUCUACCACAAUGGGCGAAAGCCUGAAGGAGCAACGCCGCGUGAAGGAUGAAGGCCGUAGGGUCGUAAAGUUCUUUUAUAAGUGAAGAAUAUGACGGUAACUUAUGAAUAAGCACCGGCUAACUACGUG